Molecule: transfer RNA, 73 nt
Filed under: Gemmatimonadota bacterium
Lineage: Bacteria; Pseudomonadati; Gemmatimonadota
Also listed under: 2 other names
Description: tRNA-Gln
Rfam family: tRNA
About the family: Transfer RNA (tRNA) molecules are approximately 80 nucleotides in length. Their secondary structure includes four short double-helical elements and three loops (D, anti-codon, and T loops). Further hydrogen bonds mediate the characteristic L-shaped molecular structure. tRNAs have two regions of fundamental functional importance: the anti-codon, which is responsible for specific mRNA codon recognition, and the 3' end, to which the tRNAs corresponding amino acid is attached (by aminoacyl-tRNA synthetases). tRNAs cope with the degeneracy of the genetic code in two manners: having more than one tRNA (with a specific anti-codon) for a particular amino acid; and 'wobble' base-pairing, i.e. permitting non-standard base-pairing at the 3rd anti-codon position.
Source: RNAcentral
UGCCCCGUGGUGUAACUGGCAACACGCCUCACUCUGGAUGAGGAGAGUCUUGGUUCGAUCCCAAGCGGGGCAA